UACAGAGGGUGCAAGCGUUAAUCGGAAUUACUGGGCGUAAAGCGUGCGUAGACGGUUACAUAAGUCGGGUGUGAAAUCCCGGAGCUUAACUCCGGAAUGGCAUUCGAAACUGUAUGGCUCGAGAUCUGGAGAGGUGAUUGGAAUUCUCGGUGUAGCAGUGAAAUGCGUAGAUAUCGAGAGGAACACCAGAGGCGAAGGCGAAUCACUGGACAGAAUCUGACGCUGAGGCACGAAAGCUAGGGGAGCAAACGGG
RNAcentral lists this ribosomal RNA (253 nucleotides) under uncultured bacterium. Its description in RNAcentral is "partial 16S ribosomal RNA". It matches the Rfam family "Bacterial small subunit ribosomal RNA", at positions 524 to 776 of the family's 1533-position model. The record is from RNAcentral.